ACAAAUGGCUGCGAGAUGGACAAGACGCUAGCUUCUGCUCGUUCAGGUCUGGAUACAUGCUUGGCCAGUCCAACACCUUUACCCUCAGCUUAAUUAUCAAGGCAUCGUUUGUAUUGGAGGUGUGUUUGGAGUUGUUAUCAUGUAUGAAUACUGCCCUGCAGCCCAGUCUCUGAAGGGAGGGGAUCAUGCUCUGCUUCAGUAUGUCAUAGUACAUGUUGACAUUCAUGGUUCCCUCAGUGACCUGUAGCUCCCCCAGUGCCUGCAGCACUCAUGCAGCCCCAGACCAUGACACUCCCACCACCAUGCUUGACUGUAGGCAAGACACACUUGUCUCUGUACCCCUCACCUGGUUGCUACCACAGACGCUCCACACCAUCUGAUCCAAAUACGUUUAUCUUGUUCUCAUCAGGCCACAGAACAGGGUUCCAGUAAUCCAUGUACUUAGUCUGCUUGUCUUCAGCAAACUGUUUGUGGCUUUCUUGUGCAUCAUCAUUAGAAGAGGCUUCCUUCUGGGGCGACAGCCAUGCAGACCAAUUUGAUGCAGUGUGUGGCAUAUGGUCUGAGCACUGAUAGGCUACACCAACCCCCAGCCACUCCACACCCACACCUUCAACCUCUGCAGCAAUGCUGGCAGCAUUCGUACGUCUAUUUCCCAAACACAACUGCUGGAUAUGACACUGACCACGUGCACUCAACUUCUUUGGUGGAUUAUGGCGAGGCCUGUCCUGAGUGUAACCUGUCCUGUUAAACCACUGUAUGGUCUUAACACACCUGCUCCCCAUUCACACCUGAGACCUUGUAACACUAACAAAUCACAUGAAACCGGGGAAAGAAAAUGCCUAAUUGGGCCCAAUUUGUAUAUUUUUACUUAUAUUUAUAUAUUAGAGCCAUAUGAAGAUAAAUAAAGAUUCUUAUAUUUUCUAUAAAAAAAUCUAAAAUUAAGUGUAAGCAUGGACUGAAUACAAAAACCUUUACUUAAUUAGACUGCGAAGCAGAUUGUAACCUUAUAUCCAUUUAACAGUGUGAAACCAUGUCAUCUCACACACACACACACACACACACACACACACACACACACACACACACACACACACACACACACACAAACACACAGAUAGCAAUCAUUACACAUAAUCUAUACACACAGACACUGUAUUAGGAAUCAUGUGGAAACAGCACACAGUAUAAUAUCUUGCAGAUACAUGUCAAGAUCUUCAGUUAACAUUCCAUUAAAAAUCAGAAUAAAGAAAAAUGUGAUUUCUGUAACUUUAACCACAGCUUGUGGUUGGAGGAUUUGCAAUAGUUGUGAUUCAGAGAUAUGUAGAAUGAAGUGAACCGGUUCCUCACACAAAGACUGAGAAAUACAAUCUGUUUAUAGGUCAUUUGUGUCUUGACUGUUGUUUGUGUGAACAAUUUUAAGGUUAGUUGUUUAAUACAUAAUAUGAACCUGUUUGAAUAUGAUGCUCUAUUAGACACACAGGAUUAUCAUACACAUGCUUGAAUCAAUUAAGAACAGAUGUUACAAGUUCAAUUACUUGCAAUAAAAAAAGGAUCACUUACUAAAUGUUAUAAUGAUCAUGGUAUU
Molecule: long non-coding RNA, 1585 nt
Organism: Tachysurus fulvidraco (yellow catfish)
Lineage: Eukaryota; Metazoa; Chordata; Actinopteri; Siluriformes; Bagridae
Exons: 2
Source: RefSeq, a predicted model, not a curated record